CGGCAACAGCUCAAAUUUGAAAUCUGGCUCCCUCGGGGGUCCGAGUUGUAAUUUGCAGAGGGUGCUUUGGCGUCGAGCGCGGUCUAAGUUCCUUGGAACAGGACGUCACAGAGGGUGAGAAUCCCGUAUGUGGUCGCCGAUCUUCGCCAUGUAAAGCCCCUUCGAC
This 166-nucleotide ribosomal RNA is filed under the name Spiroplana sp. RNAcentral's name for it is "partial large subunit ribosomal RNA". It matches the Rfam family "Eukaryotic large subunit ribosomal RNA", at positions 99 to 261 of the family's 3401-position model. The record is from RNAcentral. Lineage: Eukaryota; Fungi; Ascomycota; Dothideomycetes; Pleosporales.